AAGGGGACUGGAGAAAUAUUUCUCGCAACUUUGUGACCACUAGGACACCAACUCAAGUGGCUAGUCAUGCUCAGAAGUAUUUUAUCAGGCAGAGCACAGGAAGGAAGGAUAAACGGAGGUCCAGCAUCCAUGAUAUUACUACCGUCAAUCUUCCAAACAUCGAGUCUGCUUCACCUGAUGGGAAGAAAUCAUCUCCAGAUCAUUCUACCACAAGUCUACAAUCACA
This 226-nucleotide unclassified non-coding RNA is filed under the name Hevea brasiliensis (rubber tree). Lineage: Eukaryota; Viridiplantae; Streptophyta; Magnoliopsida; Malpighiales; Euphorbiaceae. The record is from RNAcentral.